AGAAUGCAAGGCACUGACAAACAGUUGUUACAGCAUCAAAUAGGCAUGUUUUUCCCCUUUUGGAACGCAGUUGCAAGGUUGUCAAUUUAAUGGGUAUACAUGCACCGAUGAACUGUUUUUAUGAACAGUUUUUACAGCUGGUUUUGCACUUUUCAUAGCAUCAAAUAGGCAUGUUUUCCCUUUCUGGAAUUUUCAUUGCACCAAAUAGGCAUGUUUUCCCUUUCUGGAACGCAGUUCCAAGCUUGUGACCUGUAUGAGACAAGCCCAUUAUAUAAUCAGCUUCAGUAAUUUACAUAGCCAGUGAAGGGUAGUUUGGUGUUGAAGUGAGAAGCAAUGAAGAAUUUUGUAGUCGUAUUCCCCUUGGUGAUUUUGCUCCGUGGAUGCGUAUGCGUUGCAGCAUUACCUUCCUCAUUACCAUAAAGAUGGCGAUUUGCCUCUGAGUGUGGAUGCAUCUUUUAUCGUUCAGUCCGACAAAUUAUCACCGUCUUUAUGGAGGUCAGGAAGGUCGAUGUUCUAUUGACCAGACCUUCGGAAACAACCGAUCUUGAUUUCGUUUUCGUUUUGCUUGAGGUUUGAAAAGUUGUUGAGGCCUAGAUUAUAAGUGGCAUUGUUUGUCUUUCCUGCAACAUAGCUGGGGAGCAAGAUCGUUUUACUAGUUGUUGGGGAUCUCCAUCUCCACCGCCUGUUUCCAAUGCUGGUAGGGUUUCACCUUCAACUUGUGCAAUGUGUCCUUUCCAAUGUCACCUGCAACUACAGUUUAUGCAUCUCCUUCAAAUGUGCAUGGUUUGGAGUCAAAUGGGUUAGCCAUCAUUGUUGUAAGUGUUGCAAAUAGGUUGAAUACCAUGAGCCUUCAAUCUCCAUGCAAGCAAUGGUGGUUGAUCCUGGAUCUGGUAUGCGAUCCAGUGGACAGAAUCUGAGGGAAUAUAUCGCGAGGGAGGAUCACUGCUCAGCUGUGAUGUUCACAUAUUUCUCUUUGGGGAAGACCCUCGACCCUGCUAGGGAUUCAUUCUCCGGCGGACCCAUUCGCCCUUAUUUUUGCCUAUGGCUUUCAUAUACACAAUUUUUUCCAAUAGGAGGCUUGUUCAUUGCACCAAGGAACCUUUAAACCUAAAUUUUGUUGCAUCAUUAACAAAAGAGCUGUGUGAAAAUGAGGAAUUUUUUUUAGGGAAUGGACUUAUUGGAAAGUUUAGCCAGUUCUGGCCCAGCCUUCCAGAAUUCCAUGAUUAGAUUUCUAAAUCAUGUCUCCCCUUAAUAGAGGAAAAAUUGUAAAUUUAUCCAAAUGCAAGGGGUUUCUUUACUGUAGUUUUUGAUAGUAAGAAUGAUAGAAAUACCAUUCUAAGCUAUGUCUGGCCAUGGAGACAAAGUAUGUUGAUGUUAAGAUCUUGGCAGCCACACCUUAAUCCAUGCACAAACUUUUUAUGUCAUGUUGA
Long non-coding RNA from Cryptomeria japonica (Japanese cedar), 1430 nucleotides. RefSeq lists it as uncharacterized. The transcript is spliced from 2 exons. NCBI's taxonomy places the organism in Eukaryota, Viridiplantae, Streptophyta, Pinopsida, Cupressales, Cupressaceae. The record is from RefSeq and is a predicted model, not a curated record.